This 478-nucleotide ribosomal RNA is filed under the name uncultured bacterium. RNAcentral's name for it is "partial 16S ribosomal RNA". It matches the Rfam family "Bacterial small subunit ribosomal RNA", at positions 28 to 523 of the family's 1533-position model. The record is from RNAcentral.
GACGAACACUGGCGGCGUGCUUAACACAUGCAAGUCGAACGGUAAGGCCCUUCGGGGUACACGAGUGGCGAACGGGUGAGUAACACGUGGGUGAUCUGCCCCGCACUUCGGGAUAAGCCUGGGAAACUGGGUCUAAUACCGGAUAGGACCACUGCCUGCAUGGGUGGUGGUGGAAAGCUUUUGCGGUGUGGGAUGGGCCCGCGGCCUAUCAGCUUGUUGGUGGGGUGAUGGCCUACCAAGGCGACGACGGGUAGCCGGCCUGAGAGGGUGACCGGCCACACUGGGACUGAGGUACGGCCCAGACUCCUACGGGAGGCAGCAGUGGGGAAUAUUGCACAAUGGGCGCAAGCCUGAUGCAGCGACGCCGCGUGAGGGAUGACGGCCUUCGGGUUGUAAACCUCUUUCAGCACCGACGAAGCGCAAGUGACGGUAGGUGCAGAAGAAGGACCGGCCAACUACGUGCCAGCCGCCGCGGUAA